Molecule: non-coding RNA, 72 nt
Organism: Ciona savignyi (Pacific transparent sea squirt)
Lineage: Eukaryota; Metazoa; Chordata; Ascidiacea; Phlebobranchia; Cionidae
Source: Rfam
GCCUCUAUAGCUCAGUGGUAGAGCACUGGUCUCGUAAACCAGGGGUCGUGAGUACAAUCCUCACUGGAGGCA